Molecule: transfer RNA, 65 nt
Filed under: Dipodomys ordii (Ord's kangaroo rat)
Lineage: Eukaryota; Metazoa; Chordata; Mammalia; Rodentia; Heteromyidae
Rfam family: tRNA
About the family: Transfer RNA (tRNA) molecules are approximately 80 nucleotides in length. Their secondary structure includes four short double-helical elements and three loops (D, anti-codon, and T loops).
Source: Rfam by way of RNAcentral
GGUGGCUUAGUGUCAGAGUGCUUGCCUUGCAUGCAUGAGGCCCUGGGUUCAAUUCCUCAGCACCA